UACGGGGGGGGUAAGCGUUGUUCGGAAUUACUGGGCGUAAAGAGCUCGUAGGCGGCCUGUCGCGUCGGUUGUGAAAGCCCGGGGCUCAACCCCGGGUCUGCAGUCGAUACGGGCAGGCUAGAGUUCGGUAGGGGAGAUCGGAAUUCCUGGUGUAGCGGUGAAAUGCGCAGAUAUCAGGAGGAACACCGGUGGCGAAGGCGGAUCUCUGGGCCGAUACUGACGCUGAGGAGCGAAAGCGUGGGGAGCGAACAGG
This 253-nucleotide ribosomal RNA is filed under the name uncultured bacterium. Its description in RNAcentral is "partial 16S ribosomal RNA". It matches the Rfam family "Bacterial small subunit ribosomal RNA", at positions 524 to 776 of the family's 1533-position model. The record is from RNAcentral.